RNAcentral lists this ribosomal RNA (450 nucleotides) under uncultured bacterium. RNAcentral describes it as "partial 16S ribosomal RNA". It matches the Rfam family "Bacterial small subunit ribosomal RNA", at positions 338 to 795 of the family's 1533-position model. The record is from RNAcentral.
CCUACGGGGGGCUGCAGUGAGGAAUAUUGGUCAAUGGGCGGAAGCCUGAACCAGCCAUGCCGCGUGCAGGAAGACGGCCCUACGGGUUGUAAACUGCUUUUCCGGGGGAAGAAUAAGGCCGACGUGUCGGCCGAUGCCGGUACCCCGGGAAUAAGGAUCGGCUAACUCCGUGCCAGCAGCCGCGGUAAUACGGAGGAUCCGAGCGUUAUCCGGAUUUACUGGGUUUAAGGGGUGCGUAGGCGGGCGCUUUGAAAUACGGGGGAUAAACCUUCGAACGGCCGUGGAUACUGGGCGCAUUGGAGUCGGUCGAGGCGGGCGGAAUGCGACAUGUAGCGGUGAAAUGCUUAGAUAUGUCGCAGAACGCCGAUUGCGAAGGCAGCUCGCCAGGCCGACAUUGACGCUGAGGCACGAAAGCGUGGGGAUCGAACAGGAUUAGAUACCCGAGUAGUC